Molecule: long non-coding RNA, 7890 nt
Filed under: Homo sapiens (human)
Lineage: Eukaryota; Metazoa; Chordata; Mammalia; Primates; Hominidae
Description: non-protein coding ZRANB2-AS2:43
Source: RNAcentral
GGAGCUGGAAAGGUGGAGGCGGAAGUGACUGAUCAAUUCAGGGGCGUGGGGUUCGUUUAGGUUUUGCCCUGUGUAUGACCUCGUUUGGAGCCAUGAAACCAGAGUUUCGCUCUUUUUGACCAAGCUGGAGUGCAAUGGCGUGAUCUCGGCUCGCUGCAAUCUCUGCCUUCCAGGUUCAAGUGAUUCUCCUGCCUCAGCCUUCUGAGUAGUUGGGAUUACAGGUGCGCACCACCACGCCCGUCUAAUUUUUUGUAUUUUUAGUAGAAAUGGUUUCACCAUGUUAGCCAGGCUGGUCUCGAACUCCUGACCUCAGGUAAUCUGCCCGCCUUGGUCUCCCAAAGUGCUGGGAUUACAGGUGUGAGCCACUGCACCCAGCCAAAUAUCAAUUGCAUUUCCAUGUGUGAAUAUAGGACAGAGAAGAUAGAUUAGGUGGAAUUUUAUCAGUGACACAUAUUAUACAUUGUUAUCAAGUAAAUAUUAUCAGUCGGCGUAUUAGCUGUUCUUUUCUUAUAAAAGUAGAUUGUGCCACAGAUACCUUAUUUUGUUAAUUCUUUUGAUUCUGGUCAUAGAUAAAUGGUGAUUUACUCUAUUCAAAGAAGGAUAGAAAAGUGGGCUUGCAUUUUAGGUUUCUUGUGGCAUACACUGGUGUGCAAUCUGCUAGAACUGAAGGAGGAUGUUAUUAAUCAAAAGGUGCACAAGGAGGGAAAGGACUUCAUUAUGCUGUUUUGCUUCCACAACUUGCACCUGGAGCUUCUUAAUGAAUGUGCCCUUUGGAGACAGGUGGCACUCUGAAAAGUGUAAGCCUCUUUAAACCUCUUCUUGUCUCAAAUUGACACGUCCUCGUCUCAAAUUGACACGUCCUCAUGACACUAUGAAUAAUCAAUCUAAUUCUUAAAUGAUGUGAAUGACUUUGGUUGGACUAUAAUUAGUUGAAGCAAUUUUUUCUCCUGGUCAUUAGAAGCACACAUUGCUAGAAUUAGGGAAAGAAAGAAAGUCAGGAAAUGGCUGGGAAAAAAAGUCAUGUAUUCCUUGAAAAAUACAAAUUUAUAGAUGAUAUUGUGUACUGGGUGAACAAAUCCAGUAGAUGGCAGUUUAGUAACAUACAAUAUCCUUCUAUCAUGGGGAAUUCAUGUUUAGCAGUCAUCUUUUCUUAGAAUAUAUAUGAAAAUAUAUAUCUUAAAUGUUAUCUGUUUAUUGCGAUAUUUUGUGGAAAAGUUAUCAUCUACCACCUCUAUGGGUGCUCUCUGCUGGCUAAGAGAAGCAAAGUUGUUAUAAACUUGUCAAAUAACAAACAAUAUAAGGUGUGUUGGAAUUUUCCAGGAUUUUUCCAUCAUAUUUUAUUACCUCCCAUUCAUUUGAAGCACAUAUAGAUAUCUAUGAUAUUUGAAGAAAUAAAGGAUUUGGCAAUGUUUUUUAAGAAAAAUAGCACUAUAACCAACAAUUGAUUCCUCUGAAAAGCUGGCUAUAAUUUUUAGCAUUUCAUGCAUAAUUUCUUUAAUUGUUAGCUAAGAUAUUUAGUAAGCUAAGAGAAUUAUGGAAAGGGAGCAGAGUAUAUAUAGAUUAUCAGAAUGAGAAGGUAAUAUAUCUGAGAAUUUUUGAAUGUUAAAAGGAGAAAAAAAGAGCCCAACCUUCCCUGAGAUAUAAACUCAAAGACUGCAUCACUUCUUACAUGGGAUUCAACAAAAAGUCCAGGCAUUAGGAAAAUUCUGAUUCCAGAACAGAAAGCUAGCAGUACGUUCUAAGAUAGAAGUAAACCAUUACACACAUUGCAUUGGUUUAAUUGAGCAUACAUUAUAUCCUUCAGUAAGAAAUUUCUGCCAUGGUGCACUAUUUUCUUGGGCACCAGGGCCUGACAGCUUUCUCACACAAGUCAGCAGUUGAAAGUGAUACAAUUUUGAUGUGAAAUGUGCUUAUACUUUGAAAGCAAUUAAACAAGCCUUGUUUGCUUAUAAUUUUCUAAUAAAAUAAAAGACCUUAUGUGGAAAGCAAUUUUAAAAACACAUCAUAACAUUUUAAGUAUGUAGGUCUUGCGACGUUUGUUCCCAUUUUCUAGUGACAGACACAGAGUAAUAAGAUUUCCCUAACAGAUGCUUAGUGCUGGGUACUCACAUGUCACUCAAGCUGACAAGGUUUCAGAAAAAAACACUUUCUUCACCAUGUUACCAUUUUGAAAGAUCAGCUAUUGCAUAUAAUUUAAUUUUGUUUAAUUGAAAGGUAUAAAAUUCACAAAAUACAGUUUAUAAAAGUUAAUGUAAUGAAUAAAUUGGGAAUAUACCUUAAACAACCCACUAGAUCCUAUCUACAAAUUUAGUCUGUCUCAGACAAGACUUUAAUCCUAUAUGCCUGGAGAAGAGUUUUAGCUCAGUUCACGAUAAGAUUAUAGAAUUUUAAAGCUGGGAAAAAUACGUGUAGAUAAUCUACUUCUUUCAAUGCCCAGUUUUAAUGAUUUACUUUUUAUAUAUACCUGAAAAAUUGGACUUAUACCUGAAAAAUUUGAACUUAAUUAAUAUACAGCAGGCACCAUUAAAGUUACAUAGAUUAUUUAUUCAAUCUUUCAACCAACAUUUAUCAAGCAUCUUACAUAUACUGACUAGUAUUUCCGAGGAACUGUAUUAUGGACUUUUAAUGCAAGAAUAAAUAGUUCACUAUCCUUGCCUCUGAGGAAGUGCUCAGAGUCUAGCUGGGAAGAUAGACAAGUAAAUUAAUAACUAUACUAUAGUGUGAUAAAGCCUAGACAGGUUUGUAUACAGCCCUGUGGGAAAACAGAUGAGGGUGCAACCUAUGUCACCUGGGGGUUUUGGGAAGAUAACAGAAAGGAAAUCACAUUCGAGCUGGGUCUUGGAGUUUGAGCAGGAAUUCUCGGGGAAAAGUAGGGGUGAGGAUUUAGUAAAGGAAAUAGACAUGAAGGCAGAAGAAUAUGUUCACAGAAUGACAUUUUUAAAUACAAGGAAUGGUGGGAAAUGAUGUAGAGUGGCCCUGGAAACGUAGUUCAGAGAAAGACUGCAAAAAUCAGAUGCUAGAGAGUUUGGCUAGAGAGUUAGGAAACAGGGAGCUACUAAAAAAAAUUGAAAAUGAAGAAAAAGGAUAUGAUCAGAUUUAUAUUUUUAAAAACAUUAUCUCUGGCAAUGGUGUGAAAGAUGGGUUAGACAAAGUCAAGAAUAGUCUGAUUGAAAUAUGUUCAGGUCUAUACUAGCACAGUGGAAGUGACAAUGGACAAACGCACGUAUUAAGGUACACUUUAGAAAUGGAAGUAACAAUUUGGCGAUCAGUUGCUUGGAAGAGGUGCGUGCUAAGGUAAAGGGAGAAGGUAAGAAUGGCUUCAAGAGAUCUAGUUGGUAUGAUUAGUUUUGAGGGUUUGGAUAAGCAUUUAUUUAAUCCUCUUCACAAGCUUUUGAAGAUUCUAACAGGUGAGAAAAAUGAAUCUCUGAAAAGUUAAGUAAUUUGCCAAGGUUACUGCUUUGGACUGAAUUGUGUGCCCCCAAAAUUCAUAUGUUGAAACCCUAACUCUCAAUGUAAUGACAUUUGGAGAUGGGGCUUUUAAGAGGUAAAUAGGUUUAGAUAAGUUCAUAAAGGUACUCAUGAUGGCACUAGUACCCUUAUAAGAAGAGACCAGAGAAGUAGCUCUGUGUGAGAACACAGCAAGAAGGCAGCUUCUGCAAGCCACAAAGAAGGCCCUCACCAGAAACUGAAUGUGGUGGAACUCUGAUCUUGGACUUCUUAGCCUCCAGAACUGAGAGAAAUCAAUGUCUGUUGUUUAAGUGACCCAACUUCUGGUAUUUUGUUACAGUAGCCUGAACAGUCUAGAAUUACCAUACAGUUAGUAAUUUAUGAAGGCCAGAUUUGAGCACAUUCUGUUUCAUUAAUUCCAGAAUCCAAGCUCUUAACCAGUGUGCUGGCUGUUUCUUUCUAUACUCAUGGAGUGGCCAGUAUGCCAUUUACUGGACUAGGAAAUAUGGGAGGAAAAAAACAUGUUUUGAAUAUCAGAUAAUCAGUUCGUUUCUUAACAUCUUGAGUUUUACAUAAGUGGUAGGCAAAACACUGGAGACAUUCAGAAGAGAAUUGUAAAUAAUAGUUCUGACGCUCAUAAAAGAAAUGGAGUCAGAAAGUUCAGCAGUAGGAGAUACCAGUAAUGAUCGAAGCCGUGGGAGUGGCUCACAUGGCCCAGAGAAGAGAUGUAGAGUGAGAAUGGCAGAGGACUGUGUAGAAAGCUUUCAGUGGCAGUGGAACGAAAGGGGUCGCUGGAGGAGACUGAAAAGGUGCACUCAGAUGACUUAAAGGAAAACUUCCUUUAGUUAAAGUACAACUUCCACGUAAGUCUGUGAAAUGGAGACUGACUUUUUCUCCCUUGAACAUGCAUUGGGGAGAAGGUUGAAACUGCAUAUUCUUAAUGGUUUACUAUUACUUUAAGAGCCUUUUCUUCACUGGAAAGCUGUCAUUCACAGCUUCUCUUUUUCUGAAGUUCACAAUCUCUUCCCAUUGGAUAUCACCAUAUUCCAUUCCACACAAAUUUUGUAAUUGUAGUAGGCCACAAGUCCACCUCCUUGAUGAUUCUACCACCCCACCUGAAUUCCUAGACUAUCCUUAAGCCAACUUCACUUCCAACAUGUUUCCGUGUGAAUCAGGGAACUGCUCCUUUUAUGAAAUAAGCCAUAAAAUUCUUAUGACUGAACCUCAUAGCUCUCUCUUUCUACCUUCCUCUAACUCAAUCCAUAUUUAAUGUAGUUCAAGUCAAUUAUUAAAUACUUAUUGUAUGUUGUGUGCUAGGACUUAGAAUACAGACUCACACAACAGACACAUAUAUGCGCACACAUAGUGUAAACAUACCCUAGCACUGAAACAUUGUUUCAUCUCACAGAAUAGGAAGGGAGCAGGUAUGUAAAAACAAUUUUGCAAUCCUAGUGUGAUAAGUAAAAUAAUACAGGUAUAUUAUAGAUGCAGUAGUAUGAUACAGUGGAAAGUUUGAACAGUUACACUUAAGUUGAAAAUGGGAGAGAUAUCAUUUAUCUAGAAAUGAAUAACUAAACCCUAAAACAUAGUGGCUUAAAAUGGAAAUGAUUCCUUAUUUCCCAUAAUUCUGUGGGUUGACUGGGCUCCACCUCCAUUCAUCUGGUGGUUGGGAUGAACAGGAAUGGCCAAGAAGAUCUCACUCAUAUGUCUGAGGUAUAGUUGCUAUAUGCAAUCUCUCCUCUCUAUGAUUUUCUGUCUGCAUGGUAUCUCAUACUCCAGGCAAGAUAGCCUGAACUUCUUCGCAAUAUGGCAGUUGGGUUAGGCUGGAACUGGAAUAGUGUCAGUUCUACAGCAUUCUGUUUGUUUGCCCAGAAUCAAGGGGUUUUUUGGUGGGAGUAAUGGCAUGACUGUAUAAGGGUGGAAGGAAAUUUUGGCGGCCAUUUUUUUUCAUACUAAGUACUACACGUGACUUUAAUAAGAAAGAUGCUUGAAGUGGGUCUUGAAAACUGAGAAGUUCAUUAGUGAAUAGAGGACAGGAAGUUUAGGAGAAGAAGAGGAGCCCUUUGAAAGAACAGCAGUAACAUGAAGACAGAAAGCAUCAUAUUUGGUCUGCCUGACAGGACAUACAGAAUGCCUGGAGGCAUUUGGGAAAAGGAAUUAGAAAUGAGCUUGAGAGGCAGGCAAGAUUAUAAACAGUCUUGUAUGUUUUAAGAAGUAAUGGCACUUUAUCAUCCAGGCUGCAGAAUACCCAGAGGGGUUUCAUUCAGGGGAAUGACUGCUCUUCACUCUCAUUGAUUCUUCUGUACUUUGUCAGUUUCGUAUGUUCUUGAUCAAUAAGACUUCUCUGGCUUCAUUUCCUUAUUCACUCCAGCUGACAAUCCAUGGUCAUUCAGUUAAACCUCUCUCUCACUGACGCUCUUAUUUCCCAACACUCUCACGACCUUCUUCUCAUUCCAUUAUUCCUAAUCCUCGAUUCUAGAAUAACCCAACCAUCUGUUUGUUCUGAUCCUGAAACCAGGCACUGAAUAAUCCUGGAGCAAAUCACAUAACCAUAUUGAUUGUCUGUCUGCCUUACACAUUUAUGAUUUCUGACAUCUGUUGGACUCUUAAUCUUUUUCUAGGAAAUCUUUACAGAUACUUACCUAUUUCCUAUGACGCUUUCUUUUUAAAAUUUUUACAGCUUUUUAUACUUUGUACUUAAUGCUGCACUCUUUAUUCUUUGCAGAUUACCUUCCCUACUUCACAGAGGAAAUAGUUGUUACAGUCAGGAAAAUUUUCCUUUAUAACUUCUUCCUGGAGUUCAUCUAUUCUUUUCAUUCUGGAUGAUCCUCUAUCUUUCCUUCCAGAUUCCUAUCAUUCUGGACUUAUUCUACUUCUCCUGCAACUCUAAAUUGAUUUACAGUUCUUAUCCAUCCUUAUUUUCUUUCCUCCUUCAACAUAGUCAUUCUUCCUUUUUUACCCCUUUCCUCUUGCCUUUGACCUCAAACCUUCUCCCUCUUGCAAGUUCUUGCUUUAAUAAUGAUCUCCUUUUUUACUUGCUUUUCCAUUCUCUUUCUACAACUUCCUCCUCAGCCAUGCUUCUACCACAAUCAGUAUUCUCUCAUUGUACCCCCUGCUUAUUGUUUAUUUUAUAUUUAUUCCUUGGUAACCUGAAGCUAGGCUUGUCUCGAUUGAACACCAGGCAAAGUUUUUGACAUAUAGUAUGAAAGUAAUAAAUAUGUAUUAAUGAUCAAUUUCUAAUUUCCAAUAUUAUAACCUCUUUUAAGUUCUCAUAUUAUAGUGAGAAGAUGGGGAAAAGGUCCCAGUUUAAGGUCCUGUCUUUGGAUCAGUGGGAGCUUGCUAAACCAUAGUUGCAACUGGACAUAAUGGCUGAGAUUCUGUAUUCUAUAGAUCUUUUCCAAAAUCAAUCUUAUUCCAUUUGCAUUUAGGUUUGUUGGAACCUGUACUGUAGCAGUUGGUAAAUAUAUUGAAUAUUACCAUUAUCUCUCUCUCUUUCCAUACAUAUAUGUAUGCGUGUGUGCACUCUGGAAAUUGUAUCAUUAUAUAAAAAUGAUUAUUAUUCCUGGUUGAAGUGUGGUGCCCAUUUAACACAUGAUAAUCACAGAUUUUUAGAGCAAAAACUCUUUCUCAUAUGCUAGACAGAUUUACAAAGGCAGAAAUCAUGGUUUCCUGGCAUAUAGAAGGUAACAAAUAUGUUUUUGUGGAAUGAAUGGAUGAAUGUUCUUUAUGUGUAACACAGGAAAAAAUUUCUAGAUGAGCAUAGAACAUAUUUAUGAAAUUUUAAAUCAAAUAUAAUAUCUAUAGUUAGGGCUUAGAAUGUUCAGACAUUGUAAGUGACUAUUGUACUACUGUUAUUGAAAGAAAAAAACACUCAUCAGUAUAGCAAUUCACAGAGCUUGUUUUUUCUUGUAAAUUUCAUUUGUUAAGAGCGUUGUUUUAGAUGCAGUCUCUCUAUAGAAACAUGUAUAAACUCAUGAGGAGUUUGAACAUAAAGUACUGCUAUAAAACUAGGUACUUAUUUUCCUUCAAUGUAUCUAACUUUUAUCUUACAGACUGUGAGCUCAUUUAAUAGCAUCAAGUGAAGGAGACUGGUAUAGCAUCCCCUCUGCUGCAUACCUUUGGGACUUUCCUGUAUAAUGUUGAUGCUCAGUCUCAGCCAACCUGACAAUAAAAUGAUCCACUUAUCCAACACAAGCAGGCAGAGGAGGAGAUACUACAUCUUUUCACGCUGCGUCCCACUCCCAGAGCCAGUCCAAUGCUUCCUUUGGGCUGAGCACACACACACAGAAACCCCUUCAUCAACAAUUUUUCAUGUUUUCUGUUAAAUUGGGUUUACUCUUCUUACGUGAAUUUUCCCCUAGAUACUUUUACCAAAUAACACAGAAAGUAUUUGAGGUGAACUAAAACUUUUUAAUAAUAAACUUUGUGGUUAUAAAACCCAAG